AUGGCCGCGGGCGCCGGCGUGUACGCCAUGGCGCAGUGUGUGGAGACGGUCGGGGCGGGCGGCUGCGCGCAGUGCCUGGAGGUAGCUUCGAGCAACAUUGACCUGUGCCCGCCCAAUUCCGACGGCCGCGCAGUGGACGUCGGGUGCUUCAUGAGGUACUCUGAUAAGCCCUUCUUCCCGGCUAAUGAGACCGCAGACCUGGCGCCCUACUUGCGCUCUGGAAAAUCAACAGAGAAGGGAGCCAUUGUAGGAGGGAUUCUGGGAGGUGUAGCCUUCCUCUUGCUUCUAGGGUUAUUAGCUUUGUUAUGGAUUUGGCAGUCUAAGAAGCUACAGAAACCUUGGAGAGGUGAUAUACUUGGAGCAACAGAACUGCAAGGUCCAACAAAUUUUUACUAUCGCGAUCUUAAGGCUGCAACCAAUAAUUUCAGUGAGAAAAGUAAAAUUGGAGAAGGAGGUUUUGGAGAUGUCUUUAAGGGUUUGUUGAAAAAUGGAAAAAUUGUUGCAGUAAAAAGGUUGUCAGUAAUGCAAACUAGCAGGGCCAAAGAAGAUUUUGAAAGUGAGGUGAAGCUAAUUAGCAAUGUUCAACAUCGAAAUCUUGUCCGGCUUCUUGGUUGUUCUCGCAAGGGUUCCGAAUGCCUCCUUGUUUAUGAAUAUAUGGCCAAUAGUAGUCUUGACAAGUUACUAUUCGGUGAGAGACGUGGAACACUUAACUGGAAGCAGCGAUUUAACAUCAUGGUUGGCAUGGCCCGUGGCCUUGCAUAUCUUCAUCAAGAGUUCCAUGUGUGCAUCAUACACCGUGACAUAAAAUCUAGCAAUGUUCUUCUUGAUGAUGACUUCCAGCCUAAGAUUGCUGAUUUUGGUUUGGCAAGGCUCCUACCAGAUGAUCAUAGUCAUGUCAGCACUAGAUUUGCAGGCACAUUGGGGUACACUGCUCCCGAGUAUGCAAUCCAAGGCCAGCUAACGGAGAAGGUUGACACAUACAGCUUUGGUAUAGUUAUUUUGGAAAUAAUAAGUGGUCGGAAAAUCAAUGAUACAAGGCUUGAGCCUGAAGCACAGUACCUACUUGAAUCGGCAUGGAAGCUAUAUGAAAAUGAGAACGUGAUUAAGUUGGUGGAUGAAUUGUUAGACCAUGACGAAUAUAUGCUAGAAGAGGUAAAAAGAAUAAUAGAGAUAGCGCUUCUUUGCACUCAAUCAGCCCCUGCUUCAAGGCCAACGAUGUCAGAGGUAGUUAUGUUGUUGUUAUCAAGAAAUUCUCCUGAGAUACAACCCGCAAGGCCCACCUUUAUUGAUUCAGCAAGUAGAGUGCAAGAUGAAACAUCUGUGUCCAGUUCAUCCUCUGCAUCCAAGGCCACUGUCUCGAUGUCACAGUUAUCAGCCAGGUAA
RNAcentral lists this ribosomal RNA (1383 nucleotides) under Triticum aestivum (bread wheat). RNAcentral's name for it is "partial small subunit ribosomal RNA". Lineage: Eukaryota; Viridiplantae; Streptophyta; Magnoliopsida; Poales; Poaceae. The record is from RNAcentral.